This 205-nucleotide long non-coding RNA is filed under the name Glycine max (soybean). RNAcentral's name for it is "long non-coding RNA (GMAX_LNC003219)". Lineage: Eukaryota; Viridiplantae; Streptophyta; Magnoliopsida; Fabales; Fabaceae. The record is from RNAcentral.
AGAAUUAAUGAAACAUUGGGCUUAAUCCGGAUUUUGGUUGUGGACUUGAAGAGGGCAAAUAAAGCAGCGCUUACCUUAGUUAAUUUCUAAUUAGGAAAUUUCGCAAUUUUAUUUUAUGUGGUUCAGUGUUUAUUUCGUUUUGGGCCAGAGUAUUGUAAUAGGGCCCAAUGACUUUGAGUGACUCUUUUUAAAUAGCAGCCUUGGG